This 83-nucleotide small nucleolar RNA is filed under the name Antrostomus carolinensis (chuck-will's-widow). RNAcentral describes it as "Caprimulgus carolinensis (chuck-will's-widow) Small nucleolar RNA SNORD45". It matches the Rfam family "Small nucleolar RNA SNORD45". From Rfam's summary of the family: U45 belongs to the C/D class of snoRNA which contain the C (UGAUGA) and D (CUGA) box motifs. The record is from Rfam by way of RNAcentral. Lineage: Eukaryota; Metazoa; Chordata; Aves; Caprimulgiformes; Caprimulgidae.
GGUCUGUGAUGAGUUUUGGCAUGUAUUAUCUGAGUAUAAAUUUGAAGAUGAUUAUUUUAGCUCUAGAAUUACUCUGAGAUCUG